Long non-coding RNA from Perca fluviatilis (European perch), 331 nucleotides. RefSeq lists it as uncharacterized. NCBI's taxonomy places the organism in Eukaryota, Metazoa, Chordata, Actinopteri, Perciformes, Percidae. The record is from RefSeq and is a predicted model, not a curated record. The transcript is spliced from 2 exons.
UCGGAUGUGACACAGUAUUUGUUGCUCUAAGUGUGUUGUAAUGUGUUUGUAGAAAGGAAAAUGCCAGGCGGAGAGGGAAGAAAAGAGAUCACCUGCUGGAGGGACUGAAGCAAGUAAAAAGAUGCUCUUACACAGCAGAUGGGGACAGCCGCCGUCACCCAAUUUACUUUUGCCCAGGCUGUGCAACAGUUGCUGCACUAUGCGUCAGACCGGGCAGGAUGGACUGGACGACAAAGCAGUCAGACGUCAGAGGUCCAUGAACUGUAACUAUGCUAAAGAGGACAAAUAAUGAAAUAAGAGGCUAAUAAAAUGAAUUUGUUUUUACCUUAAA